RNAcentral lists this ribosomal RNA (761 nucleotides) under bacterium EAB-4I14.05. RNAcentral describes it as "bacterial SSU rRNA". It matches the Rfam family "Bacterial small subunit ribosomal RNA", at positions 29 to 807 of the family's 1533-position model. The record is from RNAcentral.
ACAACGCUGGCGGCGUGCUUAACACAUGCAAGUCGAACGAUGAACCACUUCGGUGGGGAUUAGUGGCGAACGGGUGAGUAACACGUGGGCAAUCUGCCCUGCACUCUGGGACAAGCCCUGGAAACGGGGUCUAAUACCGGAUACAACCACUGACCGCAUGGUCGGGUGGUGGAAAGCUCCGGCGGUGCAGGAUGAGCCCGCGGCCUAUCAGCUUGUUGGUGAGGUAGUGGCUCACCAAGGCGACGACGGGUAGCCGGCCUGAGAGGGCGACCGGCCACACUGGGACUGAGACACGGCCCAGACUCCUACGGGAGGCAGCAGUGGGGAAUAUUGCACAAUGGGCGAAAGCCUGAUGCAGCGACGCCGCGUGAGGGAUGACGGCCUUCGGGUUGUAAACCUCUUUCAGCAGGGAAGAAGCGAAAGUGACGGUACCUGCAGAAGAAGCGCCGGCUAACUACGUGCCAGCAGCCGCGGUAAUACGUAGGGCGCAAGCGUUGUCCGGAAUUAUUGGGCGUAAAGAGCUCGUAGGCGGCUUGUCGCGUCGGUUGUGAAAGCCCGGGGCUUAACCCCGGGUCUGCAGUCGAUACGGGCAGGCUAGAGUUCGGUAGGGGAGAUCGGAAUUCCUGGUGUAGCGGUGAAAUGCGCAGAUAUCAGGAGGAACACCGGUGGCGAAGGCGGAUCUCUGGGCCGAUACUGACGCUGAGGAGCGAAAGCGUGGGGAGCGAACAGGAUUAGAUACCCUGGUAGUCCACGCCGUAAAC